AACGAACGCUGGCGGCAUGCCUAACACAUGCAAGUCGAACGAGACCUUCGGGUCUAGUGGCGCACGGGUGCGUAACGCGUGGGAACCUGCCCUUAGGUUCGGAAUAACUCCCCGAAAGGGGUGCUAAUACCGGAUAAUGUCUUCGGACCAAAGAUUUAUCGCCUUUGGAUGGGCCCGCGUUGGAUUCGCUAGUUGGUAGGGUAAAAGCCUACCAAGGGGACGAUCCAUAGCUGGUCUGAGAGGAUGAUCAGCCACACUGGGACUGAGACACGGCCCAGACUCCUACGGGAGGCAGCAGUGGGGAAUAUUGGACAAUGGGCGAAAGCCUGAUCCAGCAAGGCCGCGUGAGUGAUGAAGGCCUUAGGGUUGUAAAGCUCUUUUACCCGGGAUGAUAAUGACAGUACCGGGAGAAUAAGCUCCGGCUAACUCCGUG
Molecule: ribosomal RNA, 433 nt
Filed under: uncultured bacterium
Lineage: Bacteria
Description: partial 16S ribosomal RNA
Rfam family: Bacterial small subunit ribosomal RNA
Source: RNAcentral